ACGGGAGGCAGCAGUGGGGAAUAUUGCACAAUGGGCGAAAGCCUGAUGCAGCGACGCCGCGUGAGUGAAGAAGUAUCUCGGUAUGUAAAGCUCUAUCAGCAGGGAAGAAAAUGACGGUACUUGACUAAGAAGCUCCGGCUAAAUACGUGCCAGCAGCCGCGGUAAUACGUAUGGAGCAAGCGUUAUCCGGAUUUACUGGGUGUAAAGGGAGCGUAGACGGCAAAGCAAGUCUGAAGUGAAAUCCCGGGGCUCAACCCCGGAACUGCUUUGGAAACUGUUUAGCUAGAGUGCAGGAGAGGUAAGCGGAAUUCCUAGUGUAGCGGUGAAAUGCGUAGAUAUUAGGAGGAACACCAGUGGCGAAGGCGGCUUACUGGACUGUAACUGACGUUGAGGCUCGAAAGCGUGGGGAGCAAACAGGAUUAGAUACCCUGGUA
RNAcentral lists this ribosomal RNA (434 nucleotides) under uncultured Lachnospiraceae bacterium. RNAcentral describes it as "partial 16S ribosomal RNA". It matches the Rfam family "Bacterial small subunit ribosomal RNA", at positions 341 to 792 of the family's 1533-position model. Lineage: Bacteria; Bacillati; Bacillota; Clostridia; Lachnospirales; Lachnospiraceae. The record is from RNAcentral.